Molecule: ribosomal RNA, 473 nt
Filed under: Idriella sp. EXP0505F
Lineage: Eukaryota; Fungi; Ascomycota; Sordariomycetes; Xylariales; Microdochiaceae
Description: eukaryotic LSU rRNA
Rfam family: 5.8S ribosomal RNA (bases 160-313)
Source: RNAcentral
GGAUCAUUAUAGAGUUUUUAACUCCCAAACCCAUGUGAACCUACUAUUUUGUUGCCUCGGCGGGCUCUGCCUCCAUCUCGGAGCAGGUCCAAGCCCGCCGGUGGCCCAACUUAACUCUUGUAUUUUUGUUUUCUGAGAGUUAUUUUUAAAAUAAGUCAAAACUUUCAACAACGGAUCUCUUGGUUCUGGCAUCGAUGAAGAACGCAGCGAAAUGCGAUAAGUAAUGUGAAUUGCAGAAUUCAGUGAAUCAUCGAAUCUUUGAACGCACAUUGCGCCCAUUAGUAUUCUAGUGGGCAUGCCUAUUCGAGCGUCAUUUCAACCCUUAAGCUUAGCUUAGUGUUAGGAGCUUACAGUGAUGUAACUCCCUAAAGACAGUGGCAGAGCUAAAUCAACUCUCAGCGUAGUAAUUUUUUCUCGCUCUUGUAGUUGGCUUAGCGAUCGCCAUAAACCUUUAUUUUCUAAUGGUUGACCUC